UACGUAGGGAGCAAGCGUUGUCCGGAAUCAUUGGGCGUAAAGCGCGCGUAGGUGGCCACAUAAGUCCGUUGUGAAAGUCAAAGGCUCAACCUUUGAAAGCCGAUGGAUACUGUGUGGCUAGAGUACGGAAGAGGCGAGUGGAAUUCCUGGUGUAGCGGUGGAAUGCGUAGAGAUCCGGAGGAACACCAGAGGCGAAGGCGGCCUGCUGGGCUGCACCUGACGCUGAGCCGCGAAAGCCAGGGGAGCGAACAGG
Molecule: ribosomal RNA, 253 nt
Filed under: uncultured bacterium
Lineage: Bacteria
Description: partial 16S ribosomal RNA
Rfam family: Bacterial small subunit ribosomal RNA
Source: RNAcentral